UGAUGCAUUCAACGAGCUAUCCUUGGCCGACAGGCCCGGGUAAUCUUUGAAACUGCAUCGUGAUGGGGAUAGAUUAUUGCAAUUAUAAUCUUCAACGAGGAAUGCCUAGUAAGCGCGAGUCAUCAGCUCGCGUGAUUACGUCCCUGCCCUUUGUACACACCGCCCGUCGCUCCUACCGAUUGGGUGUGCUGGUGAAGCGUUCGGAUUGGCGUUAGUGGGCGGUUUUCCGCCUCCUCUCGCUGAGAAGUUCGUUAAACCCUCCCACCUAGAGGAAGGAGAAGUCGUAACAAGGUUUCCGUAGGUGAACCUGCGGAAGGAUCAUUG
This 324-nucleotide ribosomal RNA is filed under the name uncultured Trebouxia photobiont. RNAcentral's name for it is "SSU rRNA". It matches the Rfam family "Eukaryotic small subunit ribosomal RNA", at positions 1504 to 1831 of the family's 1831-position model. Lineage: Eukaryota; Viridiplantae; Chlorophyta; Trebouxiophyceae; Trebouxiales; Trebouxiaceae. The record is from RNAcentral.